This 460-nucleotide ribosomal RNA is filed under the name uncultured Bacteroidota bacterium. RNAcentral describes it as "bacterial SSU rRNA". It matches the Rfam family "Bacterial small subunit ribosomal RNA", at positions 338 to 795 of the family's 1533-position model. Lineage: Bacteria; Pseudomonadati; Bacteroidota. The record is from RNAcentral.
CCUACGGGGGGCUGCAGUGAGGAAUAUUGGUCAAUGGGCGCAAGCCUGAACCAGCCAUCCCGCGUGCAGGAAGACGGCCCUAUGGGUUGUAAACUGCUUUUCCGAAAGGCGAAACUCAGCGACGUGUCGUUGAUUGACGGUAUUUCGGGAAUAAGCAUCGGCUAACUCCGUGCCAGCAGCCGCGGUAAUACGGAGGAUGCGAGCGUUAUCCGGAUUCAUUGGGUUUAAAGGGUGCGUAGGCGGACUAAUAAGUCAGUGGUGAAAUCCUGCAGCUUAACUGCAGAACUGCCAUUGAUACUGUUAGUCUUGAGUUUGGUUAAGGUAGGCGGAAUGUGUAAUGUAGCGGUGAAAUGCUUAGAUAUUACACAGAACACCAAUUGCGUAGGCAGCUUACUGGACCGACACUGACGCUGAGGCACGAAAGCGUGGGGAUCGAACAGGAUUAGAUACCCCGGUAGUC